RNAcentral lists this long non-coding RNA (14752 nucleotides) under Manihot esculenta (cassava). Its description in RNAcentral is "long non-coding RNA (MESC_LNC008928)". Lineage: Eukaryota; Viridiplantae; Streptophyta; Magnoliopsida; Malpighiales; Euphorbiaceae. The record is from RNAcentral.
UUGGGUGAUCAAAACUCUGCCAUAUAAACCGACCCUUAGAGUCAUGAAGAACCAUGUUACCAUUUGAGAGUAACUUGAACCCAACAACGCCUUUAUUGGCAGUGUUGGUUUGCCAAGCAAUCCGGCCAUCAGCAUCGGCCAAAACAAGGUUUCCAUCAGUUCCAAAUGUGAGGGUGGCAUUUUCACCAACUGGGUUGCCACGGUUGGCUUCCCAGACCCAACGCAUAAGUGACCUAGAACUCACUGUACCCAUGCGCAGAGCAAGAGUAUAUGCAUUAGGAGUGGUGUUAUAAAAGCAAAGUUGAAAGGGCUGGGCAAACGGGUCUAAGACUCGGUAAUCGGGACCAUACUCCACAACAUAAUCCCCAAAUUCACCUUCAUUAACAUACUUGAAGGUUGCAGAAGGAGGAACAGAGGCUUGAGCGAUGGCGAAGGAUAAGCAAAGAGAGAGCAAUAGUUGGUGAAGAGAAAACAUUUUGGUUUGCUUGCUAGUUUUUGGGUUUGGUUGGUAUAUAAAAUCAAGGUAGAGAUGUACCCUUUUAUAGGAGAAAUGGAGGAGGAGGUUUUAGCCGGUCAAAUUGACUUGCAAGUUGAACGUGGUGGGACGGUGGUGGGCUUCAUUUAAUUUUAUAUCAUAGAUUUCUCAUAUUUCCGGAAAAAAAGAAAAUCCGGCUGAGUAAUUCUUUUGUCUAAAUUUUGAAUUUUUUUGUUUAAUUAUUUAAAUUCAUUUAUUUUAAUUUAAAUAUUAGUAAAAUAUUUAAUUAUUGCUGUUGCAUGAUGAAUAAGAACAAAGUAUUAUUUUUCUCCUGUCUCUGUUAAUUGUAAUUUAAUAUUAAUUAGUUAUUAUUUUUAUUAUAUAUAAAAAAUUAUAAUUAUCCCCUCUCUUUUCUCCUCGCUCCCACUUGCACCAACCCCUCCCUUUCUCAUCAUUAAUGAGACACAACCACCUGGACCAAUGCAAUUGGACAAAUUGCCAACCAGCUAGCAUGGCGAGCCAAUAGUAUUCAAUUUAAAUAAAAACAUUAAUUAAAUUUAAUUUUUACUUUUUCAAUUUUAUUUUAAAAAUUUUAAUUAUUUCAAUUUAAUUUAAUUUUCAUAAAAAAUUAAUAAAAUUUAACUGAACUUAUUAAUAAAUAAUAAUAUAUUACUUUUAAUGAUUUAAAAAAAUUAAAUCAUAAUUAAAAUUAAAAUAUUUUAAUUAAAUUUUAAAAUAUUAAAAAUAAUAUAUUAAAAAAUUUAAUCGAUUAAAUUAAAUAAAAUUAAAUCAAUUCAAUAUAAAUUAAUUUUCAUUUAAAAUUAUUUUAAUUCAACUUUUACUAUACUAAAAUUUGAUUUUUCACUUAAUUCAGUUGAAUUCACGGAAUGCUUACUCUUAUAUUGCUGAGCAGCUGACGAACAAGCAGUGGUCGCUCAUUGAAAAUCAGUAUUGUGAUGGUAGAUAAUGGUGACUUUUUAAUUUGAUAAAAAAAAAAUAAAAGUUUGAGUGAUUAAACUUAAAAUAUAUUAAAAAGUAAAAUUUUUAAUUAAAAAAAUGGCAAUUGACACAGAUGCAAUUAGAAAAAAAAUAAUGUUUACACUUAUAUAUAUAAUCAUGAAUAAAAAAGUUAAUUUUUUUAGCAUAAAUUAAUUUUAAUAAAAAAAAUUUAUUAUUUAAUUUUAAUAUAAUAAAAAAAUUUAUUAAUUAGUCUUUUAAUUUUAAAAAAUAUAUUAAAAUAUCUAUAAAUUUUUAUUUUAUUAUUUUUAAUAAUUAAUUAUUUUAUUAUUUAAUUUAUAUAGUAUAAAAAAAUUUAAUAAUUGAUAUUUCAAUUUUAUAAAUAUAUUUACUAAUUAAUUUUUAUUAUUUUAAAUAUUUUAAUAAAUACUUAAUAAGAGACUAAUUAAUAUAUUUUAAAAAUAUUUUAACAUAUUUUUUAAAAUUAAAAAAUUAAUUAAUAAAAUUAAAUAGUACUUUUUUCUUUUAAUAAUAUGUAAAUAAGUUUAUAUAUUUUUAUCAGGGAGAGAGCUCAAUUUUGUUCUUAAGCUUUUAGCCACAUAUAAAUCUAAAUAAAUUUAUUAUUUAGAAAAAUAUGAGUUAAUAUUUUAACUUUUUUAUUAAUAAAAUAUUAAAUUGAAAAUUUAAAAUAUUUUAAGGUCAAUUUACAAAUUUAGUAAAAUAAUAAUUGGGAAAAAUUAUUAAUAAAUUGAACAUGAAACCACAAAUAAUAAAAGAAUAAAAAUAAAAUUUUAGAACUCAGUAGUUGACUUGUUCCGUUAUAAACGGCCGACGAUGCAUCGACCAGGGUUGUAAAGCACACAAUGGAUAGAAUAAAAAACGAGAAGCAGUAAUUCACCAAAAUAAAAAAUACUUCAUUCCUCCUCAAAAAUGUAAAUUUUAUUUUAUUUUUACAUGAAUAAAUAAUUAUUAUAUAAUUAAAAUAAUAAAUUUGAUUUACAAUUUUUAAUAUACCUCAGCAUAUAUUAUUUUAUUAAAAUUAAAUAAUUUUUACUAUAAAAUGCUAUUAUUGAAGUUUUUAUUUUUAAAAUUUUUAAAGUAAAAUAAAACUUAUAAAUAAUAAAUUUCGACAUAAAUUUGGUCAAACAAAGAGGGCAGUCUUCGUUGACCAAAGAAAACAAGCAUCACUGUACGUGGACAAUUGGACUAGGGAUGUAAACGGGUAAGGUACCUGCAAAAUUGAGAGUAUCCAAUCCGAUUAUAUAUAUAAUUUUUGAAUCCGUUUUAAAUCCAUUUAAUAUUUUAAUUUUAUUAUCUGAACCCGUCCCAAAUCCAUUUAAUAAUACCUGUAUAAUACCGGAAUCCGAUUUUUUAAAUUUAAUUCAAUGACAAGAGAAAUGUUCAAUGACAAGAACAACAACUCAACAACCCAGCAAAUAAUAAUUUAUAACCAGAUAAUCAAAUUAAUUGUUCAUAAAUUCUAAAAAUCAACAGUAUUACAUUAAUCAAAUAGCAAAUAAUUAAAUUUUUUAAAAGUAUCUAAAUAAUCAAUUCAAUGAUAAAAAUUACCAAAUAAACUAGAAGGAGAAAUGUUCAAUGACAAGAAACAGCAACUCAGCAAACUCAACAAACCCAACAGUAGAAAGUUCCAGUCAAAAAAUUUGAUUGCAAACCUGAAGAAAGUUCCAGUUAAAGGAGAUGUCGCCGACAACAAUUGGGGAGAGGCAAGGGUCCAGCAUAAGUGAAGUGGGGGAAAGAAGCGUCAAUUGAAAAGAGUACAUGUCACCGACCGGAAGAGAGAAGGAGAUAUCGCCGAUGCCGACCGGGGAGAGGGAAGAGUUGUCUCCGACUGGGAAGUGGGAGAUGCCGCCGCUGGAGAGAGAAGGAGAUAUCACUAACUGGGGAGAGAGAAGAUUUAUCGUCAUUGUCGACUGGGGAGAGAAAGGAGACGUCGCCGGUGCCAACUGUCGACACUCGUCAGUGAAGUGGGGGAGAGAGGCCUUGUCUGGGAAGUGGGAGAUGUCGCCGACUGGAGAGAGAGAAGGAGAUAUCGCACUGUAAAGAGAGAAGAUUUAUCGAGGAGAGAAAGGAGACGUUGCCGGUGCCGAUUGGGCUGCCGGCAGUCGUCAUGAAGUGGGGGAGAGGCGUCGACGAAGAGAGAAAAGGGAAGCGAGGGAGAGAGGCGCGCCAACGGAGAGAGGAAAGAAAGAGUAAAAUGAAAAAGGAAAUUAGGGUUAGUUUUGUUAAUAUAGGUAAUCGGGUUUGGGUAAUGGGUAUACGAUCACCUAACCCCGAACCCUACCCGAAUCCGAAACGGGUAAAAUUUUUCAAAUCCGAAUCCGUCCAAAUCUGUUUUGUAAAAAUCCAAAUCUGUCUUAAUAGGAUUUGGGCGGAUCGGGUACCCAUAAAAACCUGACCGCCUGACAUCUCUAAACUGGACAUGGAGACCACCGUCUGAUCCUCAUAAACUCUCUGUCUUUUGUCGUACAAAAAACCGUACGUUUAUUAAUACUAUUUGACAAUUAAUAUUUUUUAAAACAAUUAUUAUUUAAUUUUAUAAUAUAAAAAAAAUUACUAAAAAAUCUAUUAAUUAAUUUUUUUUAUUAAUUUUAAUUAUUAAAAUUUUACAAAAAAUUUAAAAUAUCUGCAUAAAUUAAUUUUUAAAUUUUUAAAAAUACAUAAAUUAAUUAAUAAUUUUUUUAAAAUUAUAAAAUUAAAUAAUAAAAUUAAAAAGUUAUUAUUUAAUUUUUAAAUAUUAUUAUUAUUAAAUUUCUCAUCUGAGUCGAUACUCUCACCUUUUCUUUCUCCUUAAAUUUCAUUUAUAUUUUUUCUUUUUCUAUGGAAGACGAUCUACAUCAAUUGACUAUCGAUAAAAAAGAAAAUAUUAUUAUUCCUAUUAAGGGUUAUAUAAAUAUUUCGAUCGUCACUUAUAAUUUUUAUAUGACAGAUAUAUUUUUCACAUACAAUCUAAUUAAUUUUGAGAAUAUAUAAAUUUUUUUGGUAAAUUUAUAGCGGUAAUCCUCGAACAGUUAAUAUAUCGAAGGAUUUGGUUACUAGUUACAAAUCAAACAUUUUAUUUUUGAUAGAAAUAAAAACUCUUAGUUCUCUUAUGAAAUUUUUUCAUAAAUUUUUACAUUUUGAUGAUUAUUUCUCAGUUAAUAAACAAGAAUUGGGAGGAGAUCUUUCGUUGAUAUGUAAGAGUCGUGUGUUUAUUUCUGUAGUUGAUUUUUCUUCAAAUUUUAUUGAUUCGGUUGUUUCAGAAGGUAAUGUUUAAUGACAGUUUACUAGUUAUUAUAAGUUUCUAAAAUCGCAAUAACAAGGUAAGUUAUUGAACCUUAUUCGAAUUUUAUUUCAUAGAAACUCUCUUAUGUGGUUUUGUUUGGUAGACCUUAAUAAUUUAUACUCGAGAGAUGAGAAAAAAGUAGGAAUAUCUUUAUCAAAUUAUGGGGGUUUAGAUAGACAAUUGAGCAAUAUUUUUCCUAAAUUAUCUGGGCUUGAUUUUGAAUGAUUAUUUAUUUUUGUUAUACUCUAAAACUGAUAUUUCUGUUAAAUAGAUUCGUAAUAAUAAUACUCUAACUACUAGGGGUGAGCAGUAUUCGGUUUAAACCGAAAUAACCGACCGAACCGAUUAAUUUCAAAAUUUUGGUUCGGUUUUAUUUUUUUUCCGGUUCGGUUCGGUUUGAAAUUUUUAAAAAAUCGGUGAUUUCGGUUCGGUUCGGUUUUAGACGUAAAAUUUUCGAUUAGACCGAACCGAACCGAAAUCAACUAUACUACGUCGUUUUAAUAGUUUCCUAUUCCCUAAUUCCCUAUUUCCCUUCCCUUCCCUUCCCUGCCCUAAAUCUAAAACAAAUUUCUAUCUCUUCGUGCGUGCCACCAAGGCUCCUCUCAUCUCUAUGCUCUGCUCCAUCUGCUCCAUCUCUCAUCUCCAUCUGCUCCAUCUCUCUCUCUGUGCUCUGCUCCAUCUCUCAUCUCGCCACGAGAUUCUCGCGCCUGUGCCUCCACUCUCCUCUCGAUUGGACUGAUUCACCAUCGGCGUCGGCCGUUGCUCUCUAUCGGCUCUCCACGCGUCGUCGGGCAGUCAACAAUCUCUCAUCUCUAUGCUCUGCUCCAUCUCUCAUCUCGCCGCGAGAUUCUCGCACCUGUGCCUCCACUCUCCUCUCAACUGAACUGAUUCACCAUCGGCAUCGGUCGUUGUACUCUAUCGGCUCUCCACGCGUCGUCGGACAGUCGGCAAGUGCUUAUUCCACAGCCCUCAGUCAGUAAGUGUUAUUUUGGCAAGUGUUAUUUGCUGUUGAUUGUUGAAUUUGUGUGUUGAAUUUGUGUGCUGUGAUUGUUCUUUUUACUCUUUUUAGAUUUAAUUUUAGAACACUAAAAAUCAAUCUAAAAAGAGUAAAAAGAAUAAUGAAAAGUUUGAAAAUCGGUUUAACGGAUCGAACCGACUGAACCGAAUCGAACUGAACCAAAUCGGUUUGAUUCAGUUAUCUCUCUUAUUCGGUUCGGUUCGAUUUAUGUAAAAUACUGCAAUUCGAUUUUUAGUUAUUUCGGUUCGGUUUGAUUUUGAACCGAACCGACCGAAUGCUCAUCCUUACUAACUACUCAUAUUUUACCUACAUAAUUUAUCUCUCUCCUUGAAAUGAUAUCUUUCAUUAUUUAAUAAAAUUUUAAUAAUACAAUCAGCUUUAUUUUAAAAAAAAUUAAAUAAUAAAAUUUUUAACUAUAAAAUUAAUAAAAAAAUAAUUAACAAAAUUUUGGGUUAACUGUCAAAAUUCAUACUCCAUUUAAGCUAUUAUAACAUAUAUAUAUAUAAUAAUUUAAAAUAAAUUAAAUGUAUUAAAUUUUAUUUUUCCAUAAAUUAUAAAUAUAAUUUAUUAUUACUAAUUGAAUAUGAAAACUCAGCUGGUGAGGUGGCAGUCAUAUUCAUAUAAAGAUUUUCCUCAGGGACACAUUGUGGUGGGGCCAUCUUAAUGUCUUAUCCCCAAAUUAUUGGCGGAGGCGGCUAAAGGAUUUUCAUGCAUCCUUAUCCUCGAGAAUGCAUUAUCUGUCCUGGAAAGAUGGUUUUAACCUAUUCUUUUUUUUUUUUUUUUGAAAAAAAAAAAAUAAAAAGCAAUCUCAAAUUUUUUCCCCCUCAAAUUUUAAUGAUUAUAUUUAAUUUUAUACAUUUAAAUUUUUUUUACCCGAAUUAUAAAAAUAUUUUGAUUUAGAUCAAUUUACCCAUUUUUAAUUUAAAAUAUCAAAAUACCGAUUUUAAAUUUUCAAUAGUAAAAUAUUAAUAUUACAUUUUGAUAUUAAAAUUAUUUAUUAUUAUAAUCAAUAUAAUAAAAAUAAAAAUUAAAUUUUAAUAUCAAAAUAUAAAUUAAUAUUCUAGUAUUAAAGUUGAAAAACUAAUAAUUUUUUUAAAAAAGAUAAAUUUAAUUUUAAAUCAAAAUGUUCUAAUAAAUUGAAUAAAAAAUUAAUUUUAAAUGAAAUUAAAUGAAACUAUACUAUGAUUACUAUGGCAGCCACUCUAACUAAUGAUUAAGUUAAUAUACUGAAAAAAUAGAGAAAAUAUAAUAGAUUGCUUAAAAAUUAAAUAAUAUUAUAAAAUAGUAAAUAUUUAUCUUUGUGAUUCUUUUUUUUUAUAUUAUAAGAACGUAGGGAUAAACUUGAUAUUUUUUGAUAAAUUGACGAUGAUGUGACCGACUACUUAAUAAGAGAUAUUGUUUGCUAAUGAGUGAGAAAUUUUGCGAUAACAGACGUAAUGGGAAUACGGUGCACUGUUUCUGUUUAUUGGUAACUUUGUAUUAAGUCUCGCCCUGUCGAGGGAAGGGUGAGUCUUGGAUGAUGAAUCAGGUGUUUAGGGCAUUCGGAUCUUCCAUUCUUUGCGCUGGACCAUGUUUCUCACUUAUCAUAUCAUUGUUACGUAUUCCAGUCUCGUGGUAAUAGCUCAUGACUUAUUUUAAGCGAUUGUUAUGUAGCAUCAAAGAUCCCCGUUUGUAUUCGACUCUUAAGAUUCGAAGGAGAUAGUUGUUCUCAAGGUCUGGGGCACGUGGCCUCCUGAGAUUGGUUUUUGCUGCUCACGCCAUUUCGUCCAUUUAGCCCCUCAAUGAUGAUCGCACUGCUUAUCAUGUCGUAUUUAAAAUCUGGCAUCAAAAUCGUCUUAUAAAAGCCCUUAUUCUUUCCCAAAUAUCGUUUUUGUAAUACCCGGCUAGACUCCGACGUCGGAAUUCCAACCUUUUGACGGAAUCCCCAUUGGAAUCCGGAAUCUCGGAUGUCGGAACCUCUUAGAAGGGUAAAAUAAGUUUUUCACAAAAUGAAUUUUAUGGUUUUACUUUUUGUUUUUGUAUUAAAGAAUUUUAAGAAGAAAGAAAAGAUUUUUUGAAGAAAAAUGCUUUGGAGGGGAAAAAUCAGGUUCGGCCGUUGAACCUUCAUGCUCGGCCGCCGAACAUGGUGCUGCCGCGGGAGCUCUCCUUUCGGCCCCUGAAGGUGGUCUGGCCAGCCAUCUAUAAGAGGCCUCCAGUCCGAAAAUGAGAGAGUUUCUCUCUCCAUUUUCGGGCAAAGGUGAGUUCUUGCCCUCUCAUUAUUGAUUUUGUUAUUUUUCCUUCAAAUCCUUCAAAAUAUUCAUGAGUUUUCCCUCGUUUUUGAAGAUUUGAGCUUAAAUAUGAGUUUUGAACCUUGGAGACCUCUGGAGACCGUUUGAACUCAUCUCCACUGUAAUACCCGGCUAGAUUCCGGCAUCGGAAUCCCUACCUUCGGGCGGAAUCUCCGUUGAAAUCUGGAAUUCUGAAGAUGCCAGAGUCUUCUAGAAAGGUAAAGUGUGUUUUUUAAAAUGUUUUCACAUGAUUUUAUGGUUUUAAAUGAAAAAGAAAUGAGUUUUGAAAAGAAUAGGCCAAGGAGGAAGGACCCAGGUUCGGCCGCCGAACAUGGGGCUGUUUCGGAAGUGCUUUAGGCCUCCGAAGGCUUUGAGGGCAGAAACCAGGUUCGGCCGCCGAAUCUCAAGUUCGGCUGCUGAACAUGGGAUAGUUUAGGGGGCACGUUAGGCCGCCGAAGGUGGUUGACCGGCCACCUAUAAAAGGCCCCUCAGACCGAAAGUGGGCGAGUUUUCUCUCCAUUUUUGAGCUAAGGUGAGUUCAUGUUCUCCUUUGGUCGAUUUCAUGUUCUUUCUUCAAAUCUUUCAAGUUUUAACAAGUUUUAGCUUGGGUUUUGAAGUUGUGAGCUCAAGAUCAAGUUUUGGGAGCUUGGAGACCCAAAGAGUUGUUUUCUCCCAUCUCCAAGUUAGGGAUCGCACCAACCCUCGAUCUUCAAGAGGUAAGUGUAGAUCCACGCCUUUUUCUUUGUUUUAAGCAAGUUUUAAGAAGUUUUGAUGCUUGUGUGAGGGUAGAUGUGCAUGUUUAGGUUUAUGUGGGUUUAUGCUCAAUGUAUGUUUAUAUGAUGUUUUGUUGGGAGGUUUAAGCUAGUUUAUGCCCUAUUUGCAUGAGGGAGUGUGUAUGCAUGUUUGGGAGAGAGCAUGUGAGGUUUUCAGUUGUUUUGGAAGGUUUGGAGGCUGUUUGUGCAUGAGGAGGCUGAGUUCUGCCCUUCGGGAAGAACUCAGGUUCGGCCGCCGAACCUGCCUGUGGUGGCUUGUUUUGGCUGCCGAACCCUGCCCUCGAAAGUUGGACUUUCGGCUCUGGAGGGGAGUUUCGGCCGCUGAAGGUGCCGCCGAACAUGCACGAGUUUCGGCUCUGGAACCACUUUCGGCAGCCGAAGGUGUCGCCGAAAGUGGCUGAGUUUCGGCUCUGGAGGGACUUUCGGCCGCGGAACCUGCCGCCGAAAGUGCCCUGUUCAGCCUUCUUUUGCAUGAUUUCUAUGGUUGUUUUAUGAUGUUUUAGGGGAUUUUCGGGGAAAUGUUUAGAGUCCUAUUAGAGUAUGUUUGGUCCCUCAUUUGAGUCCACCUGUGUAGGAACGGACCUGAGGAACUGAGGUGUUCGGCAGUGAGUUAGCUGCUUCAGAGUUAGUAAGCGUCAGCCAGAGGUGAGUGGAACUGAACCUUAUGUUUAAAAAUAUAAAUCAAAUGUUUUAAGCAUACUCAUGCAUCAUGAAUACCAUGUUAUGUAAUAGGUUGUUUACAUUAGAAUUCACGAAUAUGAUGCAUUGCAUAAUAUGAUGAUGAUGAUGUGGAUGAAUAUUGAAUGAUCCUCUAGCUCUCUGUACGGUACGAUAUGAUAUGAUAUGACAUGAGAUAGAUAGGCCAGACGUGGCUGUAUUGCCCUUGGCAAUAUGUUAUGAUAUGAGCUAUGCAAGAGAAGACCAGGUGAGGCUGUAUCGCCCCUGGUAUAGUCGGACGUGUUAUGAUAUGAGCUAUGUAAGAGAAGACCAAGUGAGGCCGUAUCGCCCCUGGCAUAGUUGGACGAGUUAUGAUAUGAGAUUGUGGAGGGCUAGUGGUGACAAGUUCAUCCUUAAUGUGUAUUGUUUGUGAUGUGAUGCAUUCCAUGAUGGCAUAUUUUUAUGAGUUGUUUUCACUGUUCUGCUCACUGGGCUUUAUAGCUCACCCCUCUCUCCUAACCCCAGGUUUGUAGGGACAGAGUUAGUUCAGAAGUUCAGCAGGUUAUGGCUAUGGUUAUAUUUUGUAAUAGGAUAGUAGUGGACAUGAUGUAAUGUAAAAUCAUGUAAUGAUGUAAGAGCAUGUAUUGUAAUGUAAGGAUAUGUAAUGGCAUGUCUUGGUUAGAGUUGUGCUUUGCCCUAGUUAUGUAUGGUUAAUCCUUUUGAUACAUGAUAGUAUGUUAAUGUUUAAAUGAUGAUGAUUAUGCAAACCAAGCUUAAUGUAUGAUAUGUUGACCCAACUGGAGCAUUUGAUGAGGGCUCCAGUAAGGGGUUUUAUGUUACAGCUUUUGUGCAUGCACAGGUUAAGCUUGGAAAAUGAAAGGAAAAGUUUAAAGUUUUUAUGUAUAUGUAUGGUCAUGUAUGGGAUUAACAGGUGUACAGGAUGCAUGUUAGGCUUGCUACGGGUCCCGGCGGCCUUAUGCCGAUCUGGAUUCCUAGCGCCGGUAGCGGUCCGGUUUUCGGGUCGUUACAUCCACGUUGGGGUUGCUGUCACUCCUAGAUCUCUAAGAGGUAAGCCUACAUCAUUGCUUUCCUUAUGUUUUAAAUGAGUUUUAAGAAGGGGUAAAAGGCUAAAAAUGCAUAAAAUGGGUAGAUCUAUAGUUUUUGAGUUGUGUUAGUUUUGUUGAUAAAAGUUUGCUCUUAUGAGUUUUUAUGGUUGUUUCUUUGGGAUUUAGGCUAGUUUUUGUGCCCUUAUGCUUGAUGAGUGAGUAUGCAUGUUUUGAUGAGUUGGGUGUGAGGAUUUGAGAGUUUUGGGUGGCUGAAUGCAUAGGGCAGAAUCGGGUUCUACCUAGUUGGAGAACCCAGGUUCGGCCAUCGACCCUGUAUGGGAGGCAGCCUUUUGGCCGCCUAACCUGCCCCUGAAAGCAUGGACUUUCGGAUCUGUGAAGGGGUUUCACCGCCGAACCCGCUCCUGAAAGUCCCUGACUUUCGGAUCUGUAUGGAGUUUAGGCCGCUGAACCUGCCCCCAAAAGUCCCUGACUUUCGGAUCUGUGAGGGACCUUCGGUCGCCGAACCUGCCGCUGAAAGGCCCCUGCCCAGUCUUCCUUUGCUUGUUUCCUAUGCAUGUUUUGGUAGGUUUUAGGGGGGGGGGUUUGGGAAGUUGUUUAGAGUCUUGUAAUAGUUAUGCUUGGUCCCUCAUUUGAGUCCAUUUGUGUAGGAUCGGACCAAGGAGACCGUAGAGGCCUGCAGUGAGGUAACUGCACCAGUGUUAGGCAAGCGUCAGCCAGAGGUGAGUAGAACUGAACUAUCUUUUCAAAAUAACUAAACUUUUAAGCAUGUUCAUGCAUCACGAAUGCCAUGUAUAUGUAUUAGGAUGUUGCAUUAGAAUUCACGAAUAUGAUGCAUUGCAUAAUUUAUUGUUGAUGUGGAUGGAUAUUGGAUGACCCACUAGCCCUCGAGAUGUUAUGAUAUGAUAUGAUAUGAUACGGAAAGACUAGGGCUGCCCAUUCUACGCCCCUGACACGAUGUAAGAGAAAGACCAGGGCUGCUCAUUCUAUACCCCUGGCAUUAUGGAUAUAUUAUGUUAUGUUUAAGCGAAAGUCCUGAGGGGCUCAGUUGAGGGCCGGACACAUUGGAUUAUGUAGAGGGUUACUGGUGACAAGUCCAUCUUGAUGUGAAUUGUUUGUGUUGUGACGCAUUUCAUAUGAGCAUAUGUUUAUUAAACUAUUUUUAUAUUCUACUCACUAGACUCUUGUAGCUUAUCCCUUUCUCCUAACCCCAGGUUUGCAGGGUCGAAGAUAGCUCGGGAAGCCGGCAUAGUAGCUGGUAUAGUUUAAUGUAAUAGAAUAGUUGUGGACAUGUAAAAAUUUAAUGGAUUAGUAUUGUGCUUGGCCCUAGUUUUCUUUACCUUGUAAUCCCUGUUAACAUGGUCUUUAUGUAAAAGUUUUAAUUAUGAUUUAUGUUUGAACUAAGCUUGAGGCAUGUGAUGUUAACCAUACUAGAGCAUUUGAUGAGAGCUCUAGUAUGAGUUUUAUGUUUUCAGUAUGAUACAUGCACAGAUUGAGCUUGGUUUCAUGAAAUGUUUAAGUUUUUGUUAUAAUGUAUGAUCAUAUAUGGGAUUUUAUCACGUACACAGGAUGUAUAGUAGGCUUGCUACAGGUUCUAGCGACCUUAAGUCAAUCUGAAUUCUAGCGUCGGUAGCGGUCCAAUUUCCUGGUCGUUACAGUUUUUGCUAUCUCCUGUGAUCCUUUGUUUUCAGAAAAACUCGUUCACUACUUUUUUUUUUACUUAUACUCCUUACAAUAAUUUUUGUUUCUUUUUUUUUUUCUUGGUAUGAACAAGAUUACUUCUUCCCUUUCCCUUAACAAGGUUCUACCUCUAGCUCCUCUUUCGAUAGCCCUAUCCGUACCCCAGCCUCUGUUGUUCCAUUGAGGGAGGUUCUGAAAAACGAGGUCGACCUGAUUAGUGAUACUUUAUCUGUCCUUUUGGAGCGUAAUGUAGACUGUCUCUAUGAUACCUAUUAAAUUCCUCAAAAGGUUUUCUGUGUCUUUGCUCUUUCUCUACGCAUCCGUGUGAGUGAUUUGAUUUUGCAGAGUAUACUAUUAUGGUCUUUGAGAAGCAAUUAAAGACAGGUCUUUUUUGAUUCCUUAUGGACCUAUUUUUUAUGGAUGUUCUUUGGUUUUAUAAACUUUCGAUUGCCGAACUGUAUUCUAAUAGCUGAAAAAUUCUAAUGGCUUUUCAGUUCGUUUGCCUAAAUAACCACAUCGAACCAAGUGUAACAUUUUUCUCUCAACUCUAUCAACUAGAUAUCUACAAAAGUGAAAAAUUUUGAUAUUUUAACGGACAAAACCACAUUACCUAUUUGAUAUGGUAUCCCACCUUAACGUGGAGGAAAAAUAGAUAUUUUGUCCUUUGCCACUCGACGCUAGAGGGUUUUGACCAUAUUUUACAAAAUAGAUUUUUGGUAUUUCUUAAAGUCGUUUUGUAAUUAUCUCUCAAUAUCUUAGAAAUGCAACUUUACAAUUAUAUGAUAAAAAAAAUUAUACAUGAGGUAUAUACGUAUUAUUUCAUAAAGGUAUAAUCAAUUUAAGAAGAAUAAAUUAAAAUAAAAUAAUAAAAAUUAUUUUUAUAUCGUUGACGUCGAAGAAGAAUCCAUGGAUUACGAACAAAGAAAACAAAAACCACUGUGGAUAUUAAGACCACCCUCAGAUCAUCACAAAUUCUGUCUUUUAACGUACAAAAAAUAUUAAGUUUGUCAAUAUUUGACAAUUAAGUUAUUUUUUCUUUUCAAAAAUUAUUUUUUAUAAUUUAAAAUUUUUAUUAAAACCUAUAUAUAAAUUUAUUGAUAUAUUUUAUUUUUUCACAAACAAGUGGAGUUUUAAAAUAAUUAUUAUCCAUAUUAAUAAUAUAUUAAUUAAUAAUAUAUAGUGAUUUAAAAUAAAUUUAAAAUUAUUACUAUUUGAAAAUAUUAUAAUUUUUUAUUAAAUUUUAAAAUUAAUAUUUUUAUUAAAUAAAUUUAUCAUAGUUAUUUUAAUUGUUCAUAUUUUAACUAUAAAAUUUAUUAAAUAUAAUUAACUUUCAAUUUUAAAAUGAAAUCUCUUUUUAUUUUUAUUAAAAAAAUAUUAAUAUUUUAAUAAAAUUAUUAUAUAUUUUAUUAUUAUUGAUGGAGUAUAAUUAAAGUUUUUGUUUGUAUUCAUAUAAUAAUUUUGAGGAUAGAGAUAUCACGUGGACUAUCUCAGUAUCGUUUCAGUAAAUAAUUGGUGGAGGCGUAAGGGACUUGCAUGCAUGAAUUCUUAUACUUAAUUAAGCCUGCAUAUUUGUUUUGGAAAGAUGAUUUUGACCUUUUAUUUUUAUAUAAUUAUAUAGAAAAAUAUUUAUUUUGGCUACACAGAAUCUUAUGUAACAAGUAACAUAUUAUUAAAAUCAAAUCAAUUGCAUUAAUUUAUUCGUAAAAUCCCACACCUUAACAUAAAACAAAAAACCAGCUAAAAAAUACAUAAAAUUACAAAAAAAAAAANNNNNNNNNNNNNNNNNNNNNNNNNAAAAAAAAAAACUUGUCACAUUCUUUCUUAUCAUUCCCUUUAUUGUUCAUACUUGCAUAUAAAAUCUUCAAUCCAAGCUGAAAAUACCCACCUCGAAAAUCACUUAUUUGGCGUCUUAAUGAAUGCCAAAUGUGUAGAAUUAUCAACUUUUGUUAAGGUUUUGAGAUCGUAGGCAAUCCAGCAUUUAGAUGAUUGUGUGUGGUAAAAAUAAGCCAAGCACUUGCAAUCCUUGCUGCAUUUGCUGCUACAAGCAUUCUGCUUCAUCGGUCCAUCUCCAUUUGUGUACUUGGAAUUGAAAUGAUCAACCCCUUCUAGUUUAUAGUAGUAAAAAUCUUUCACUCCACAUGAAGACAGCUUUGGUGCCUGACAAUUCUUGCUCCAGCCCAGCAAGCCUUUUGGUGAUGGACAAGCAAUACACUGAUCAUCUUGGCAUAGCCCAAAGUUACCACACUUUUCUGGUAAUUGGCAUUGUGUUUCCCAAGAGUCUUUGGAAAACAAAGUAUAGGUCACUUGCCAUGCACUCCAAUCUGCAUUAUCUUCGUAAGUGUGUAUUCUAAGGUUUCCAUCUAUUUCCAACCGAAGAUAAGACAAUGUAGUGUUGUAUUUAGGCCUUCUAAGAGUGAGAGUUCCACCGGAAGAGGACGUAGGACCCUGGUAUUCUAAAGAUAAACCUGAGAUAAAUGUUACAUGAUUCAAAGGGCCCUCCAAUACACUUAAAAGUUCAGAAAAUGAGAAGUAAAGCAAAGAUUUUGGGGAAUUUGGAGAUUUGUAGUACAUGGCUAAG